UACGGGGGGAGCAAGCGUUGUUCGGAUUUACUGGGCGUAAAGGGCGCGUAGGCGGUCGUGACAAGUCACUUGUGAAAUCUCCGGGCUUAACUCGGAACGGUCAAGUGAUACUGUCGUGCUAGAGUACAGAAGGGGCAACUGGAAUUCUCGGUGUAGCGGUGAAAUGCGUAGAUAUCGGGAGGAACACCAAUGGCGAAGGCAGCUUGCUGGGACGGUACUGACGCUGAGGCGCGAAAGCGUGGGGAGCAA
This 249-nucleotide ribosomal RNA is filed under the name uncultured bacterium. RNAcentral's name for it is "partial 16S ribosomal RNA". It matches the Rfam family "Bacterial small subunit ribosomal RNA", at positions 524 to 771 of the family's 1533-position model. The record is from RNAcentral.